GAUGAAGAACGUAGCGAAAUGCGAUACUUGGUGUGAAUUGCAGAAUCCCGUGAACCAUCGAGUCUUUGAACGCAAGUUGCGCCCGAAGCCACUAGGCCGAGGGCACGCCUGCCUGGGCGUCACACGUCGUUGCCCCCCCAUCUACUCCUUCGGGAUUGCGGGGGGGCGGAUGAUGGCCUCCCGUGCGCCUAGCCGCGCGGUUGGCAUAAAUACCAAGUCCUCGGCGACGCACGCCACGACAAUCGGUGGUUGCGAACCCUCGGUUGCCCGUCGUGUGCGUUCGUCGCGCAUCGAGGGCUCGAAAAAAUGCUCGGCUUCGGCUCGGCUUUCAACGCGACCCCAGGUCAGGCGGGGUUACCCGCUGAAUUUAAGCAUAUCAAUAAGCGGAGGA
RNAcentral lists this unclassified non-coding RNA (391 nucleotides) under soil metagenome. Its description in RNAcentral is "partial contains 5.8S ribosomal RNA, internal transcribed spacer 2, and large subunit ribosomal RNA". The stretch from base 1 to 122 matches the Rfam family "5.8S ribosomal RNA", at positions 35 to 154 of the family's 154-position model. The record is from RNAcentral.